Non-coding RNA from Oryctolagus cuniculus (rabbit), 3720 nucleotides. NCBI's taxonomy places the organism in Eukaryota, Metazoa, Chordata, Mammalia, Lagomorpha, Leporidae. The record is from RefSeq and is a predicted model, not a curated record.
GGCCUCAGCUGGGGCGCGGCCAGCCCCCUCCCCCGCCCUCCGCGAGGUCUCGGGGGAGCUCGCAGCCAAUCCCCGCCGCCCCCGGCGGGCUCGCCCCGACCCGGGCCGCGCCGCGCCGGCUCCGGCGGGCCUGUGCCCGGGCCGGCUCGCUCCCUCGCGCUUCUCCUUCGCUCCCUUCCCCACGACAAAAGUUUUUAAACUUCGGUGAACUCGCCCAGGGAACUUUCUUAAAGGGGCCGCGCGCUGUCCCGCCCGCGGGACCUGCAGCCCAGAGCCAGGCGCCCCCGGGUCCCUGUGCAUCCGCGCUCCAGAGCGCCCGCGGCGGGGCUCCGGGGUCGCCGGCGCCCUUUGUGUUCUGCUCGAGGGCUGGGGUGUCGCGUCCUCCUCGCGCCCCCACACACCCAGCCGCCCAGUCCAGGUCCACCCUCUCUCCCAGCGCCCGGCCGCGGGGGGCGGGGUUCUGGGACUGCUGCGGGGGAGGGGACCAACACCUGGGCUUUGGCCCUCACUCGGCCUUGUUUUGCUGCGUGACCUUGAGGAAACCACUUCCCCUCUCUGGCCUCAGGCUCCCGGCCCAGAAGGAGGGACUUGGGAUCGCAGACUCCGGCCCCGGAGGCGAAUCUUCGGGACCCUGUGGUUGUUAGCUCGGCGAGCAGGUCCGUCCGCCCGCCUCCUGGCGGCUUUGGGGUCUUCUCACUCCCUUGCUCCGGGGCCUGCGCACCCCUCACACUUUCCGGUGUUCCUGCGGGGGAGGGAGAGCAGCCCCGCGCGCGGCCCGGGCGGGGUCGUCUGGCUCCUAGCAGCCCCGGGUGGGUUUUCUUCCGUUGUGACACGCACCGCCGAGGGCUGGCCCGGGCCUCUGCAGUCCCCUUGUGGGAAGCCUGGCCGAGUCCCGGGGCCCUGAGCGCCCCGCUCCCGGACUCCUGCUGCGGCCCGGGAACUCCGGCCGGGAGCCUCCCGGGCGGGCGUCACCGUGUGUGGUCAACGCCCGCCCAGCGCCAGCGUUCUGUCCUGACUUAACCCGCCGAGUUAGAUCUUAGCACCUGGGCUUUAGGCGGAAAGCGACGGGCGGUGGCAGUGGCCUUGGAAGAGCCGAGUGUGCAUCCCAGACCUCGGACAUGUGGCUCGGCCUCAGUGUGUCCACCUGCUCGGUGGGGCUCGCCCCACCGCGCCGGGAGUGCCGGGGCGGGGCUUGGUCUCCGCGGUAAAUUGCAGAGUAAGUCUCCAUCCCGUCCUGCGGGCUUUUACUCAGGUCCCGGAUGUGGCAGGUGCAUCCUGGCAGAGGGAGCAUUUUGGUGGACAGGUGCAGGGCCCAAGCACUUGGGCCAUCCUCCACUGCACUCCCGGGCCACAGCAGAGAGCUGGACUGGAAGAGGAGCAACUGGGACAGAACUGGCGUCCCAACUGGUACUAGAACCCGGGAUGCUGGCGCCGUGUCUCACUUGGCUAAUCUUCUCUCUGCCUUUCAAAUACGUGGAUCUUGAAAAAAUCAACAGAAGGCGGGCCGAGGAAAGGAGAGGAGACCCAUGGGGAGGAUGGGGGGAUGGGAAGAAACCAGGCAGACCUUCCAAGGUCAUUCAGGAUUUAAACCGGGCUGACUUGGCAAGAACCCCAGGACCUUAGUGGAUGAAGCCACCACUCCCGGAUCUGGAGUUUCAGUUCCAGCUCCGACACUUCUGAUCCAGCUCCCUGCUGAUGCGCGUCCUGCGAGGCACUGGUGACGGCUCAAGUACCUGAGUCCCUGCCACCCUGGCUCCUGGCUCCUGGCUCCAGCGUGGCCCAGCCCAGACUACUGUGGGUAUUGGGUGAACCGGUGGAUGGAAGGUUUUUCUCUGGGUGUCUUUCCCUGUCACUAAGUAAACACUGAAAAAAUGGCCCCUUAGGAGCCUGUGUUGUGGUACAGGGAGUUAAGCUCCCACUUGGGAUGCCUGUUCCAGUGGUCCAGCCCUGGCCAUUGAGGCCAUUUGGGGAGUAAACCAGUGGAUGGAUCUCUCUCUGUCUUCUUAAUUUGUUGCUCUUCCUUUUAAAUAAUUAAAAAUUAAAGAGAACCCCCCCCCUUUGAAAAACCCAGGACCCUGUAUGUGGGACUUGGGUUUCAGAGCCAGCUGGCCAUGUGGCCUUGGCCAUGGGAGAUUAGGUUCGUGUGUCCAUCAGAUGGGGGCAGUCGUCCCGCCUCCUCUCAGGGUUAUUGUGGGGAAUAAGCUGGAGGGCCAAUGAACACAAACCACAAGGCACCCAAGGGAAGCUUAACAAAGGAGCUUGCCCACUGGACAGGAACUCAAGCCCCAGCUCCGGAAGACAGAGGGUUGCCAGGUCUCUGGGAGGGGACAGAGUGACCUCUUGGCGCCACCUGGUGGUCUACAGUGUGUGUGGUGCGUUGGGAGCUCUGGGAUUGGGGAUCUGAGCGUGGCCAUUGAUCAGUGGGGGCAGGGAAGUAUACCAGGACUUCAGAGGAGAUGGGGUCAUCGCUAGCAGGCCAGCCCACCUGUCCUGCCAUCUCAGCCUCUCAAAGUCCCCUCCCCACAUCUUGUUCCCCUCGCACCAGCUUCAGUUCCAGUUCUGCCACCAAGUAGCCUUCCUGGCCUCGGCCACCUCUAGGAACCCAUCACUGACCGUGACCUCUUUGAUUUACUGAAGCGUCUACAGUGCUCUGAUGUGGGAUGCCAGUGUCUCUGGCAGCAGCUUACACCGCUGUGCCACGAUGCUGCCCAGUAUUCCCCUCCCCGCCUUUUUUCUUUUUUCUUUUUUUUUUUUUUUGAGAGGCAGAGAUAUAGACAGGCAGGGGAAGAAAGCUCCCAAAUUUGGUUCACUCCCCCAGAUACUUGCAAUGGCCAGGGCCAAAGUCAGGAGCCAGGAAUUCAAUACAGGUCUCCCUUGUUGGUGGCAGGAACCCAGUAUCUCUCUCUUUCUCUCUCUCUCUCUCUCUCUCUUUUUAAGAUUUAUUUAUUUAUUUCAAAGGCAAAGUUACACAGAGAGAGAGAGAGAGAUCCUUUAUCCACUGGCUCACUACCCAAAUGGCUGCAAUGGCAGGAGAUGUAUUUUACUUACUUGAAAUAGUUCUAGAAAGAGUGGGAGAGGGGGAGGGAGAGGGAGAGGUCUUCCAUCCUCUGGUUCACUCCUCAAAUAGCCGCAAUGGCCAGAGCUGGGCAGAUCUAAAGCCAAGAGCCUGGAGCUUCUUCUGGUUCUCCCAUGUAGGUGCAGGGGCCCAAGGACUUGGGCCAUCUUCCACUGCUCUCCCAGGCCAUAGCAGGGAGCUGGAUCAGACGUGGAGGAACCGAGACUCAAACCAGCACCCAUAUGGGAGGCUGCAGCUUCACCUGUGACUCCAUGGCGCCGGUCCCGGAACCCAGUAUCUUGGGCCAUCAGCACAACAUAUUAGCGGGAAGCUGGAGCCAGGAACUGAAUCCAGGUACCCCAAUGUGGGAUACAGGCAUCUUAACCACUAGGCUAAACACCUGGUCCCUUAUCAAGCUUCUGGGGAAACAGAAGCUAGUUUGUUGAUGAUCCCUUCCUCAUCAGAACAUCCAAGCUGGAGCCUCAGCAAGGCCACCAGCGGCUUCCGACACGGCGCAGGCCCGGGUUUCUCAGCGUGUGGAUUCCAUAGCGUGCCCCUGUCUGAACACUGGGUGACAGUGACUCACCUGGUCAUUUCAUUGCUCGUCAUUAACCUCUCCAAAUGACCAGUGCUACAAACACACCCUCACAUAAGGGUGCUGUGAU